GUAGCAAAAUAAAUGUUCUCUAUUUUUAAUAACUUUAGGCCCAGUGUCAGUGAAGAUGGCGUGGUCAGUGCAAUCCUGGUGUUUGUGGGAAAUAGAGGAACCUUGCCCAGCUUUCUACUACGGUGUGACCCUGAUGAGGUAUUUUUUUCUGACUUUCCUGCCUCUUUGGAACAAAUCCAUUCACAUUUACUUUGGAGAGCACCGGGACAUUGACAUAAACAGCACUUUCCAACUACUUCAAAACAUUUGGUGACAAAUGAUUUUGGUUUUCUUGUUUUUGUGCCUUUAGAUUUCUUCAGUUUUUUUUUUUUUUUUUUU
Rhinichthys klamathensis goyatoka is the source of this 318-nucleotide long non-coding RNA. RefSeq lists it as uncharacterized. The record is from RefSeq and is a predicted model, not a curated record. NCBI's taxonomy places the organism in Eukaryota, Metazoa, Chordata, Actinopteri, Cypriniformes, Leuciscidae. The transcript has 2 exons.